RNAcentral lists this ribosomal RNA (359 nucleotides) under Escherichia coli. RNAcentral's name for it is "bacterial SSU rRNA". It matches the Rfam family "Bacterial small subunit ribosomal RNA", at positions 1164 to 1522 of the family's 1533-position model. The record is from RNAcentral. RNAcentral also lists the same sequence under 1 other name. Lineage: Bacteria; Pseudomonadati; Pseudomonadota; Gammaproteobacteria; Enterobacterales; Enterobacteriaceae.
UGGAGGAAGGUGGGGAUGACGUCAAGUCAUCAUGGCCCUUACGACCAGGGCUACACACGUGCUACAAUGGCGCAUACAAAGAGAAGCGACCUCGCGAGAGCAAGCGGACCUCAUAAAGUGCGUCGUAGUCCGGAUUGGAGUCUGCAACUCGACUCCAUGAAGUCGGAAUCGCUAGUAAUCGUGGAUCAGAAUGCCACGGUGAAUACGUUCCCGGGCCUUGUACACACCGCCCGUCACACCAUGGGAGUGGGUUGCAAAAGAAGUAGGUAGCUUAACCUUCGGGAGGGCGCUUACCACUUUGUGAUUCAUGACUGGGGUGAAGUCGUAACAAGGUAACCGUAGGGGAACCUGCGGUUGGA